RNAcentral lists this unclassified non-coding RNA (979 nucleotides) under Hevea brasiliensis (rubber tree). The record is from RNAcentral. Lineage: Eukaryota; Viridiplantae; Streptophyta; Magnoliopsida; Malpighiales; Euphorbiaceae.
UAUUUUCUUUAAGCAUUUUAAGUUUGUAUUAUCUACCUUGAGCAAGACUUGGCAUAUUUCCUACAAUGAUGAGACAGAUAAUAACAAUGAUGAUGACUCAGAAAGAAUAAAUUUACUGCAGCAGGAAAGGAAAAGAAAAGAAAAGGGAAAGAUCUCAUUUUGGAAGGUUUCAAUCAAUUGCAAAUUCUUUGUGUGGCUCAUGCACACUUGAAGAUACUGUAGACUGGUAUACUUAUUAAUAACUAGCCAAAUUGUUUUUACUCUCAUUUAAACAAUCUUACUUGGAAAAUCAGUUCAUGUUUGUUGUUGCAGCAUUAAAUUUGCUGGCUCUAUUUCCACUUCCUUUUUUUUGGGUGAUUUCCUCCACAAGGCAGCUAUGGAGCUUCAGGAAGGGAAAAUGUUGGAAGAUUAUCCUCCACAUAAUAUUUUGAAUACCUGUAGACCAUUGUUAUUUAAUGAUAUAAAAAUCCUUUUUAACAUUUUCUUAAUAUUUUGAAUUUGAAAAUGAGUAAUCUCUAAUGACCAAACCAAUAUAAGAAAGGAAAUUAAAAUUACUCCAUCCAUUCUAGGAGAUUAGGAUUAUUAAUGGGAUACUUUAUGAUUCUUGUAUGUAGAUCAAUUCAGUAAUCUUACUUUUUUAUUAGAGAUUGCAAGAUGCAAGAUAAUAUUGGAUGCACAGCUGCAUUGUUUUCCUUGCAAAAUUAUUCAAUUGAGUAGAAAGGUAAAUGAGACUUCUAUUUUAUUUCCCAUAAUUAUUUGAAUUUCAGUCAUUGUUUCUCUAAUUACAAUUAUCACAAAUGAACUGUUUUUGUUGUGCUUUCAGCAUGUCCUGGGAGCUAUCAACUUUGCUCCAAGUGAAAGACAAAAAAAAUGAGUUGGAGGUCGAUAGCAUGCCCUUUUAUUAGCUCCUUAUGAGAUUAUGACUGCUAAAUUUUGGGUUCAAGCUGUAAGCCUGAACAGAAAUAGAGAUAAGUUUACA